AUUAACUUGAGUAGUAAUAGUUAUGUUCUUGAAACUCAAAGAAUUUGGCGGUGUUUUAGUCUUUUCAGAGGAACCUGUCCCGUAAUCGAUAAUCCACGUUAGACCUUACUUAUUUUUGUUAUCAGCUUGUAUACCGCCGUCGUCAGAAUGUCCUAAGAAGGUUUUAAUUUUCUUAAAUUUUUAUUGAAAAUGAUGUCAGGUCAAGGUGUAGCUUAUGAAUAAGUGGAGAUGGGUUACAAUAAAUAUAUUUAUAAUGGAUAAAUUUUUGAAAUAAGAUUUUGAAGGUGGAUUUGAUGGUAAUUUAAAUUAAUUAAAUUAAUUUGAUUUUAGCUCUAAAACAUGCACACAUCGCCCGUCGCUCUUA
RNAcentral lists this ribosomal RNA (364 nucleotides) under Nanonemoura wahkeena. Its description in RNAcentral is "partial 12S ribosomal RNA". It matches the Rfam family "Microsporidia small subunit ribosomal RNA", at positions 752 to 1207 of the family's 1311-position model. The record is from RNAcentral. Lineage: Eukaryota; Metazoa; Arthropoda; Insecta; Plecoptera; Nemouridae.